GGAACCUGGAAGCAGAGGAUGGAAAUUGAAAAACAAAGUAGAAAAGGAAAUCAAGCAGAAUCCCUUUAAUGGUGAAGCAUGAUGGAAUCCCUGUCCAGAGAAUGAAGAGCAGCCAUUCCAGAGCCCCUUUACUUUGAUGUGUGCUCAGCUUUCACGUGGAAAGUUUUUCAGUAAGCUCCAUCCAGCCAAGAGAAUUCUGGGUCUGUUAACAGGAUAUUUACUUUGAGG
Long non-coding RNA from Chelonoidis abingdonii (Abingdon island giant tortoise), 228 nucleotides. RefSeq lists it as uncharacterized. NCBI's taxonomy places the organism in Eukaryota, Metazoa, Chordata, Testudines, Testudinidae. The record is from RefSeq and is a predicted model, not a curated record.